GAAUUGAUCUGGUUCAGAACGAACGCUGGUGGCGUGUCUAUACAUGCAAGCGAGCGAGGCAGCAAUGCCGAGCGGCGAACGGGUGAGUAACGCGUAAGCAAUCUGCCCCAUAUCAGGAAAUACCCGUGCCAACGCGCGGUUAAUGUCCAGGAGAGUGGCCAGCUGCAUGGCUGGUUGACUAGAGAUUUAUCGGUAUGGGAUGAGCUUGCGUCCGAUUAGCUAGUUGGCGGGGCAACGGCCCACCAAGGCGACGAUCGGUAGCCGGCCUGAGAGGGUGAUCGGCCACAUUGGGACUGAGAUACGGCCCAGACUCCUACGGGAGGCAGCAGUAGGGAAUAUUGCACAAUGGGGGAAACCCUGAUGCAGCAACGCCACGUGUGGGAAGAAGCAUUUCGGUGUGUAAACCACUGUCAUGAGGGAAUAAGGCCCGCCUUCCGGACGGUACCUUGAAUGUACCUUGAGAGGAAGCACCGGCAAACUUCGUGCCAGCCGCAGC
This 496-nucleotide ribosomal RNA is filed under the name uncultured bacterium. RNAcentral's name for it is "bacterial SSU rRNA". It matches the Rfam family "Bacterial small subunit ribosomal RNA", at positions 9 to 518 of the family's 1533-position model. The record is from RNAcentral.